This 96-nucleotide ribosomal RNA is filed under the name Clostridium botulinum. Its description in RNAcentral is "partial 23S ribosomal RNA". It matches the Rfam family "Bacterial large subunit ribosomal RNA", at positions 1 to 96 of the family's 2925-position model. Lineage: Bacteria; Bacillati; Bacillota; Clostridia; Eubacteriales; Clostridiaceae. The record is from RNAcentral.
GGUCAAGCUACAAAGGGCGCAUGGUGAAUGCCUUGGCAUCAGGAGCCGAUGAAGGACGCGAUAAGCUGCGAUAAGCUUCGGGUAGACGCACAUAGU